Non-coding RNA from Poecilia latipinna (sailfin molly), 411 nucleotides. NCBI's taxonomy places the organism in Eukaryota, Metazoa, Chordata, Actinopteri, Cyprinodontiformes, Poeciliidae. The record is from the annotation of a RefSeq genome assembly.
AUCAAGAAACACAUUUGAACAUGAUGGACUACAGAUCAGGACUGAUCCUUCUAAUGAUUUGCUUUAUGGGUGUUGAUGGUCAGACUCUGACUGAAUCUGAUUCAGUGGUUAAUAAACCAGGAGAAUCCCACAAGCUGACAUGUACAGCUUCAGGAUUCACAUUUAGCAGCUAUGAGAUGAACUGGAUCAGACAGGCUCCUGGGAAAGGACUGGAGUGGCUUGCUUAUAUCAGUCAAAGUGGUGGCUACACAGGCUACUCUCAAUCAGUUCGAGGCCGGUUCACCAUCUCUAGAGACAACAACAAACAGCAGCUGUAUCUGCAGAUGAACAGCCUGAAGACUGAAGAUUCUGCUGUUUAUUUCUGCGCUCGAGAGACACAGUGACUGAAGUUGGUUCAUCAGCUGUACAAAA